Molecule: ribosomal RNA, 111 nt
Filed under: Brachyscome exilis
Lineage: Eukaryota; Viridiplantae; Streptophyta; Magnoliopsida; Asterales; Asteraceae
Description: 5.8S ribosomal RNA
Rfam family: 5.8S ribosomal RNA
About the family: 5.8S ribosomal RNA (5.8S rRNA) is a component of the large subunit of the eukaryotic ribosome. It is transcribed by RNA polymerase I as part of the 45S precursor that also contains 18S and 28S rRNA.
Source: RNAcentral
CAAAAUGCGAUACUUGGUGUGAAUUGCAGAAUCCCGUGAACCAUCGAGUUUUUGAACGCAAGUUGCGCCCGAAGCCAUUCGGCCGAGGGCACGCCUGCCUGGGCGUCACGC